GAUGAACGCUGGCGGCGUGCCUAAUACAUGCAAGUCGAGCGAACGGACGAGAAGCUUGCUUCUCUGAUGUUAGCGGCGGAUGGGUGAGUAACACGUGGAUAACCUACCUAUAAGACUGGGAUAACUUCGGGAAACCGUAGCUAAUACCGGAUAAUAUUUUGAACCGCAUGGUUCAAAAGUGAAAGACGGUCUUGCUGUCACUUAUAGAUGGAUCCGCGCUGCAUUAGCUAGUUGGUAAGGUAACGGCUUACCAAGGCAACUAUGCAUAGCCGACCUGAGAGGGUGAUCGGCCACACUGGAACUGAGACACGGUCCAGACUCCUACGGGAGGCAGCAGUAGGGAAUCUUCCGCAAUGGGCGAAAGCCUGACGGAGCAACGCCGCGUGAGUGAUGAAGGUCUUCGGAUCGUAAAACUCUGUUAUUAGGGAAGAACAUAUGUGUAAGUAACUGUGCACAUCUUGACGGUACCUAAUCAGAAAGCCACGGCUAACUACGUG
Molecule: ribosomal RNA, 497 nt
Filed under: uncultured bacterium
Lineage: Bacteria
Description: partial 16S ribosomal RNA
Rfam family: Bacterial small subunit ribosomal RNA
Source: RNAcentral